UAGGGAAUCUUCCACAAUGGACGCAAGUCUGAUGGAGCAACGCCGCGUGAGUGAAGAAGGUCUUCGGAUCGUAAAACUCUGUUGUUAGAGAAGAACACGAGUGAGAGUAACUGUUCAUUCGAUGACGGUAUCUAACCAGCAAGUCACGGCUAGCUACGUGCCAG
This 164-nucleotide ribosomal RNA is filed under the name uncultured bacterium. RNAcentral's name for it is "partial 16S rRNA". It matches the Rfam family "Bacterial small subunit ribosomal RNA", at positions 355 to 511 of the family's 1533-position model. The record is from RNAcentral.